Sphaeramia orbicularis (orbiculate cardinalfish) is the source of this 155-nucleotide long non-coding RNA. RefSeq lists it as uncharacterized. The record is from RefSeq and is a predicted model, not a curated record. The transcript is spliced from 3 exons. NCBI's taxonomy places the organism in Eukaryota, Metazoa, Chordata, Actinopteri, Kurtiformes, Apogonidae.
GUAACAGGGUCAAUUAUUUCGCAGCAAUGUGGGUAUGUAAAUGAUAUUGUGCAUUGUUUGUUAUAAUUACACAAAAUCUGUUCAUUUUAUUUUCAUUUCUUUUGGUUAAUAUUUGACAUUGUGGGCCUCUGAAUGUGUGUGUGUGGAACAUUUUG